UGGUGUUUGUAAUGGAAAUAAUGUUUGCAAUUCUUCUUCUUCAAUCAAUAUUUCAAUAUUUUCAUUGAU
This 69-nucleotide non-coding RNA is filed under the name Pessonella sp. PRA-29. The record is from RNAcentral. Lineage: Eukaryota; Discosea; Flabellinia; Vannellidae.